AUACGGAGGAUCCGAGCGUUAUCCGGAUUUAUUGGGUUUAAAGGGUGCGCAGGCGGGAGAUUAAGUCGGCGGUGAAAUUUUGCAGCUCAACUGUAAAAGUGCCUUCGAAACUGGUUUCCUUGAGUGUAGAUGAAGUAGGCGGAAUUUGUGGUGUAGCGGUGAAAUGCAUAGAGAUCACGAGGAACUCCGAUUGCGCAGGCAGCUUACUAAACUACUACUGACGCUCAGGCACGAAGGCGUGGGGAUCAAACAGGAUUAGAUACCCUGGUAGUCCACGCAGUAAACGAUGAUUACUAGCUGUUUGCGAUACAAUGUAAGCGGCUGAGCGAAAGCGUUAAGUAAUCCACCUGGGGAGUACGUUCGCAAGAAUGAAACUCAAAUGAAUUGACG
This 390-nucleotide ribosomal RNA is filed under the name uncultured bacterium. RNAcentral describes it as "partial 16S ribosomal RNA". It matches the Rfam family "Bacterial small subunit ribosomal RNA", at positions 523 to 915 of the family's 1533-position model. The record is from RNAcentral.